RNAcentral lists this ribosomal RNA (554 nucleotides) under uncultured Gammaproteobacteria bacterium. Its description in RNAcentral is "bacterial SSU rRNA". It matches the Rfam family "Bacterial small subunit ribosomal RNA", at positions 64 to 612 of the family's 1533-position model. The record is from RNAcentral. Lineage: Bacteria; Pseudomonadati; Pseudomonadota; Gammaproteobacteria.
AAACGGUAACAGGAUGUGCUUGCACAUCGCUGACGAGUGGCGGACGGGUGAGUAAUGCUUAGGGAUCUGCCUCUGUGUGGGGGAUAACUAUUGGAAACGAUAGCUAAUACCGCAUAAUGUUUACGGACCAAAGGGGGCGUUUGCUCCCGCGCAGAGAGGAACCUAAGUGAGAUUAGCUAGUUGGUAAGGUAAUGGCUUACCAAGGCGACGAUCUCUAGCUGUUCUGAGAGGAAGAUCAUGCCACACUGGGACUGAGACACGGCCCAGACUCCUACGGGAGUGCAGCAGUGGGGAAUAUUGCACAAUGGGGGGAACCCUGAUGCAGCCAUGCCGCGUGUGUGAAGAAGGCCUUCGGGUUGUAAAGCACUUUCAGUUGUGAGGAAAGGUUAGUAGUUAAUACCUGCUAGCUGUGACGUUAGCAACAGAAGAAGCACCGGCUAACUCCGUGCCAGCAGCCGCUGGUACUACGGAGGGUGCGAGCGUUAAUCGGAAUUACUGGGCGUAAAGCGCACGCAGGCGGUUUGUUAAGCUAGAUGUGAAAGCCCCGAGCUCAA